Long non-coding RNA from Anguilla rostrata (American eel), 645 nucleotides. RefSeq lists it as uncharacterized. The transcript has 3 exons. The record is from RefSeq and is a predicted model, not a curated record. Lineage: Eukaryota; Metazoa; Chordata; Actinopteri; Anguilliformes; Anguillidae.
AGCAGCCGGCAACACCAUGCAUUCUGUGGUAUUUAUUUUGCUCCUUUUCUUGGCUGUUUCUGGAGCUGUUUCUGGGCACCAGCAUAGUCGGAGCUAUUCUGAAAGUGAUGAGGUGCUGUACUUGUUUCCGUACCCUAAGUAUUUCCGGUACCCUCCAGUUUUUGGCUUUCCCUUAUGGCCCUUCUUCCCGGGAAUGGUUCCACGGCCGGCCCCAGCACCGACGCCAACCACGACCACGACCCCCCGAGGAGAUGGACGAUAGGAGCUCCGUGUGCAAAAUGUUAGACUGAAAAAAUGCAGCGCUUGAAUUAAAUGCAAUGCUUUAAUGUUUAAACUAUAGCAGUUGACUAUGCAGCUAACUCACUUCAUGUGGUUUCGUGGGUCUGGAUUGGUUAAUGUUUUCAAGGUGAAAAGCGUCUGACCUUUCUUCUCUCCCGGACCUGAGCGGCUUUUUCCAAACAUAACCAUGGCAACGAAAUUUUCCUUUCGCUAUAACAGUCCUGUGUGACAUCUCUGAUUUAGCAAUGCACAUCAUACAAUCAAGAUACAUUUUAGCCUCUGUAUUUUUCAAAUAACUAUUUCUAUAUUUCCAAAUAACUCACUGCAAUAUGUGGAAAAAAAUGCAAUAAAUAAAAUUAAACCUGA